GUUUUCGUGAUCUGUAAUUGCACGAAGAGGAUAUGGCUAUACACAAGAACUAUUACGGUUAACAAGAACAAGACCGGGGAGUUUAUCACAUAUGCAGAUGUUUCAAAAAUGAAAUAUUCAAACAAGGUGGUGGAAGAAACAAUAAGAUUGGCCAACGUUGCAGCAUUUGUUUUCCGAUUGGCUACUAAGGAAGUUGAGUAUAAAGGUUAUAAUAUACCCAAGGAUUGGAGAGUGAUUGUUUGGGUUCGAUAUCUCCACACAAAUUCAGAGAAUUUUGAUGAUCCCAUGUGCUUCAACCCAGAUAGAUGGAACGUA
Pyrus x bretschneideri (Chinese white pear) is the source of this 315-nucleotide long non-coding RNA. RefSeq lists it as uncharacterized. Lineage: Eukaryota; Viridiplantae; Streptophyta; Magnoliopsida; Rosales; Rosaceae. The record is from RefSeq and is a predicted model, not a curated record. The transcript is spliced from 4 exons.